GCCUGUCUAGCUCAGUUGGUAGAGCGCUCUUAACCUUGUGGUCUUGGGUUCGAGCCCCAAGGUGGGCG
RNAcentral lists this transfer RNA (68 nucleotides) under Triticum aestivum (bread wheat). It matches the Rfam family "tRNA". From Rfam's summary of the family: Transfer RNA (tRNA) molecules are approximately 80 nucleotides in length. Their secondary structure includes four short double-helical elements and three loops (D, anti-codon, and T loops). The record is from Rfam by way of RNAcentral. Lineage: Eukaryota; Viridiplantae; Streptophyta; Magnoliopsida; Poales; Poaceae.